UGCAAAGAAACUCCCAUCCCUACCUUCUCGUGGUACUAGCCGGGGUACGUGUAACCUUAGGGAAGAUCGGGUAACCAACCCCGGUGGGAACUUUGGUCGUAUGCUGACAGGGAAGG
RNAcentral lists this ribozyme (116 nucleotides) under Aedes aegypti (yellow fever mosquito). RNAcentral describes it as "drz-agam-1 ribozyme". It matches the Rfam family "drz-agam-1 ribozyme". Lineage: Eukaryota; Metazoa; Arthropoda; Insecta; Diptera; Culicidae. The record is from Rfam by way of RNAcentral.